GAUGAACGCUGGCGGCGUGCUUAACACAUGCAAGUCGAACGAAGCACUUAAGACAGAUUCUUUCGGGAUGAAGACUUUUGUGACUGAGUGGCGGACGGGUGAGUAACGCGUGGGUAACCUGCCUUAUACAGGGGGAUAGCAGUUGGAAACGACUGGUAAUACCGCAUAAGCGCACAGUACCGCAUGGUACAGUGUGAAAAACUCCGGUGGUAUAAGAUGGACCCGCGUCUGAUUAGCUGGUUGGCAGGGUAACGGCCUACCAAGGCGACGAUCAGUAGCCGACCUGAGAGGGUGACCGGCCACAUUGGGACUGAGACACGGCCCAGACUCCUACGGGAGGCAGCAGUGGGGAAUAUUGCACAAUGGAGGAAACUCUGAUGCAGCGACGCCGCGUGAGUGAAGAAGUAUUUCGGUAUGUAAAGCUCUAUCAGCAGGGAAGAUAAUGACGGUACCUGACUAAGAAGC
This 465-nucleotide ribosomal RNA is filed under the name uncultured bacterium. RNAcentral describes it as "bacterial SSU rRNA". It matches the Rfam family "Bacterial small subunit ribosomal RNA", at positions 28 to 491 of the family's 1533-position model. The record is from RNAcentral.